RNAcentral lists this ribosomal RNA (253 nucleotides) under uncultured bacterium. Its description in RNAcentral is "partial 16S ribosomal RNA". It matches the Rfam family "Bacterial small subunit ribosomal RNA", at positions 524 to 776 of the family's 1533-position model. The record is from RNAcentral.
UACGAAGGGGGCUAGCGUUGCUCGGAAUUACUGGGCGUAAAGCGUGCGCAGGCGGUUGUGCAAGACAGAUGUGAAAUCCCCGGGCUUAACCUGGGAAUGGCCAUGGAAACUGGCGAACUGGAGUGUGGCAGAGGGGGGUGGAAUUCCGCGUGUAGCAGUGAAAUGCGUAGAGAUGCGGAGGAACACCGAUGGCGAAGGCAGCCCCCUGGGCUAGCACUGACGCUCAGGCACGAAAGCGUGGGGAGCAAACAGG